RNAcentral lists this ribosomal RNA (484 nucleotides) under uncultured bacterium. RNAcentral's name for it is "partial 16S ribosomal RNA". It matches the Rfam family "Bacterial small subunit ribosomal RNA", at positions 29 to 507 of the family's 1533-position model. The record is from RNAcentral.
AGUGAACGCUGGCGGCAGGCCUAACACAUGCAAGUCGAGCGGAUGAAGGGAGCUUGCUCCUGGAUUCAGCGGCGGACGGGUGAGUAAUGCCUAGGAAUCUGCCUGGUAGUUUGGGAUAACGUCCGGAAACGGGCGCUAAUACCGCAUACGCCCUGAGGGAGAAAGUGGGGGAUCUUCGGACCUCACGCUAUCAGAUGAGCCUAGGUCGGAUUAGCUAGUUGGUGGGGUAAAGGCCUACCAAGGCGACGAUCCGUAACUGGUCUGAGAGGAUGAUCAGUCACACUGGAACUGAGACACGGUCCAGACUCCUACGGGAGGCAGCAGUGGGGAAUAUUGGACAAUGGGCGAAAGCCUGAUCCAGCCAUGCCGCGUGUGUGAAGAAGGUCUUCGGAUUGUAAAGCACUUUUAGUUGGGAGGAAGGGCAGUAAGUUAAUACCUUGCUGUUUUGACGUUACCAAAAGAAUAAGCACCGGCUAACUUCGUG